GUUAGACGAUGAGGGUAAUUAUGAAAUUAGCUUAUGCGAAUUACCCACAUGAAACACCUUAUUAAUUACUAGAUACAGUUUGGAUUAUUAAAACUGUAACCUACACCCUAGGGCUAAAACCCUAGUUAUAGUAAAAUAGAAAUUCUCGAUGUCAGAAAUGAAUUCUUCAGCUUCAACAUUAUUUCCCAACGUUUUAUGAUUUCCUUUUUGUGGUCGGAUUAACAUUGUAUUCGUUUUCAGGAAAGGAGAAGGGAAGUGUGGGAACCUGCAAAUAUAGGCUGGCACAACAGUUGUACACGAAAGCAAAGCAGAUGAGUGAAAGGAACUGAACCUAUUUAAUUUAAAAGAUGUCUUCAAUCUUAGCAUUAACAGAGAGAAAGGUACAGUACACGAGAAGAAGAAGAAGAAGAAGGAGAAGAAGAAAAAGAAGAAGAAGAAGAAGAAGAAGAAGAAACAAGGGCAUUAACACUAGCCUUUCCCCUUGUCUUACACUGCCCUAAAAAAGAACCCUCAUUUAGAAACAUCACUGAAAAGGCUAAAGCCAAUGCUCUCUAUUCUCAUCAUCAUUCACUAUAAUAAUAUUCAAGAAAAAAAGCAAAAGCUAAUAAUAAUAAUAAUAAUAAUAUCCUUCUUACAGUCAUUUAGCAUUUCAAAACAUGUAGUAACUUACACCCUAACUGGUUUUGUUUCUUUCUUUCUCCCCUAAUUGUGAAGAGGAUUAGGACCUGUAUGAACUAUUCUCUUUUCAUCA
Long non-coding RNA from Gossypium arboreum, 751 nucleotides. RefSeq lists it as uncharacterized. Lineage: Eukaryota; Viridiplantae; Streptophyta; Magnoliopsida; Malvales; Malvaceae. The record is from RefSeq and is a predicted model, not a curated record. The transcript is spliced from 2 exons.